Molecule: long non-coding RNA, 612 nt
Filed under: Urocitellus parryii (Arctic ground squirrel)
Lineage: Eukaryota; Metazoa; Chordata; Mammalia; Rodentia; Sciuridae
Description: lncRNA (ENSUPAG00010022273.1)
Source: RNAcentral
GGAGCCGCCAGCUGUGUGUUUUCACAGUCCAGACCAAAGCUUCACGUGCCUUCUUGGUUUUUUUUUUUUCAGGAACUUGGCCAUUGGAAUUGGAAUCCAGAACUUCCCGGAGGGCCUGGCCGUCAGCCUCCCCUUGCGAGGGGCAGGCUUCUCCACCUGGCGAGCCUUCUGGUUCGGGCAGCUGAGCGGCAUGGUAGAGCCGCUGGCCGGGGUCUUUGGCGCCUUCGCGGUGGUGCUGGCCGAGCCCCUCCUGCCCUACGCUCUGGCCUUUGCUGCUGGCGCCAUGGUCUACGUGGUCAUGGACGACAUCAUCCCCGAAGCCCAGAUCAGUGGCAACGGGAAGCUGGCAUCCUGGGCCUCCAUCCUGGGAUUUGUGGUGAUGAUGUCACUGGACGUGGGCCUGGGCUAGCUCUGGGUCACGACACCCCCCCGGAAGGACAGCACCAGACCUCGAUGGGACCACGAGCCUUUCUUCACAUUGAACUAUUGCUGCCUUCUCUCCCCUUCGUCCCACUGUCCGGAUGGGCCCUGAUUCUAAUAGAACUGUCUUUACUUUGUUCUUGAGGGAGAUGUCGGUUUUCUUUGGAAUCUCAAAGUGUCAUGGAAUCACGG